This 253-nucleotide ribosomal RNA is filed under the name uncultured bacterium. RNAcentral describes it as "partial 16S ribosomal RNA". It matches the Rfam family "Bacterial small subunit ribosomal RNA", at positions 524 to 776 of the family's 1533-position model. The record is from RNAcentral.
UACGGAGGGUGCAAGCGUUGUCCGGAAUUAUUGGGCGUAAAGGGCGCGUAGGCGGCCUUGUAAGUAGGGGGUGAAAUCCUGCGGCUUAACCGCAGGGCUGCCUUCUAAACUGUCAGGCUUGAGCACGGUAGAGGCAGAUGGAAUUCCCGGUGUAGCGGUGGAAUGCGUAGAGAUCGGGAAGAACAUCAGUGGCGAAGGCGGUCUGCUGGGCCGUUGCUGACGCUGAGGCGCGACAGCGUGGGGAGCAAACAGG